GAUGAAGAACGCAGCGAAAUGCGAUAAGUAGUGUGAAUUGCAGAAUUCCGUGAAUCAUCGAGUCUUUGAACGCACAUUGCGCCCCCUGGUAUUCCGGGGGGCAUGCCUGUCCGAGCGUCAUUGCUGCCCUCAAGCACGGCUUGUGUGUUGGGCCUCCGUCCUCCUCCCGGGGGACGGGCCCGAAAGGCAGCGGCGGCACCGCGUCCGGUCCUCGAGCGUAUGGGGCUUCGUCACCCGCUCUUGUAGGCCCGGCCGGCGCUUGCCGACACAUCAAUCUUUUUUCCAGGUUGACCUCGUAUCAGGUAGGGAUACCCGCUGAACUUAAGCAUAUCAAUAAGCGGAGGA
This 345-nucleotide unclassified non-coding RNA is filed under the name soil metagenome. Its description in RNAcentral is "partial contains 5.8S ribosomal RNA, internal transcribed spacer 2, and large subunit ribosomal RNA". The stretch from base 1 to 120 matches the Rfam family "5.8S ribosomal RNA", at positions 35 to 154 of the family's 154-position model. The record is from RNAcentral.